Long non-coding RNA from Esox lucius (northern pike), 1639 nucleotides. NCBI's taxonomy places the organism in Eukaryota, Metazoa, Chordata, Actinopteri, Esociformes, Esocidae. The record is from Ensembl.
CCUCCCUGUUAAAUCGACCUCCCUGUUAAAUCGACCUCCCUGUUAAAUGUCAUUAGAAACUUUAUAUCACAGACAUAAUUUGUGUUACAAGUAGUUUUAAAAGGACAAAUUCAUAUUUUCCUGAGCGACUUUUUAAAAUCCAUUUACAGUGUCGCAUGCAGUGAAAUUCAAAUGUGGUUUACUUUCUGAAUCGACUCCCACCUGGUCCUGGAGCAUGCAGGCAUAGUGGAACUGGAGGGUACUCAUAGGCUUUGAUAUUAAUUAAUAUAGGCACAUUAUAUUUAUUAAAAUAGGCUGUAAUAUUUCAAUACAUUAUAUUGUUAAUGUGGGCAAUUAUAUUUCAAUACAUUUCUAUGAUUAGGGCAGUAGAUUAUAGUCUUUUAUAGUCUUUUUUUAUUUCAUUAAACAUGCAGUGUAUAGCCUCUAGGGUAAAUGAGUUAGGCGUUGUUGCUGCAAAGGCUUUGUAAUUAAUUUAAGUUAAUUCGAUACAGCCUACCUUUGCUUUGAAAAUAUAAUAUUGCCCUAAUGAAUUUAGGCUACCUACAGGCAUGCUUCUGAUUGAUUUUAGAUUUUGUAGGCCUAAAUAUUGUUAUUUUUACACCUGCAUACAUUUGAAAUGUUGAGUGUUCAUCCCAUACAGGUUUUAUUAAUCUAUGCUAGCAGUCUGCUGGACUCCUGUUUUAUCCAAAAGUAUGAACAGGCAGGGUUGUGUAUGGUACUGUUAAAAUGUCAUCCAGUCCAGUCACUGCUAACAUGUCCAUAUACAGUUACUAGCUUGUUACAUAGGUACUUUAAUCGGUUACUUAAUUUUGGGAUUACCUAAACUCAGUAAUUGAGUAACUAUCCAUUUUAAGAGGCCUUAUGAAAAGACAAGAAGGAUCCAUUCAAAUCCUCCCCCUUUAAGUAAUCAUCAACUUUUUCAAAAUAACUCUAUCUCUAAUCUGAUUACAAAAUGGUUUGCUGUUUGUGUAACUGAUUUCAGUUACAGUUUUCAUAAGCAGAUUACAUGUAAUAAUUGACCAUGUAACCCAGGUUGUGUGAGUGAGGGUCUCUGUUACAACAUAGUGGCUGUUUUUAAACAGUAACUAACGCCUCAUUACACCUAUGAAUAUUCAGUUGCCCUAACGGGCUGCUGUUCGGAGAACUGAAAAUUACUAUCACUUUGAGAGACAAACAAACAUACAUUAUAAUUUGGAUAUAUUAUAAUGUAUAUUUGUAAACACAGUAUUUACAAACACAUUAUUUUAAACCAUAAUAAAAAACAUAUAUAAUGUUCAAGUAGAGCAACUUAAAUUUCUUUAACUCUGCCUAGAUAAACAUUGUCUGAUGGCUAAAAUGCCAAUAUUGAUUACGCUGUAACACAUUCUACACAAUGCUAACAUCGCUAGAUAUGCACAUGUUGCUAAAAGUCUAGUCUGAGGGUGGGUGAGAAUUGUUUCCUGCAUACAGAGAACCCCACUGGCACCAUUUUCACUAUACUUGGUAAAUAAUGCGUCUUGCCAUAGAGAAAUGGCCACCCUAGUAGAUUUUCUGUAUUUUUUAUAUUGUGACAAAAGCUUACUACAUUACUCCUCUGGCACCCGAUGAUGAUCUGCAAAAUAAAACUAUAUGGGGCAUCUAUUGAUAAAUUUCCCUGAAU